RNAcentral lists this ribosomal RNA (497 nucleotides) under uncultured bacterium. Its description in RNAcentral is "partial 16S ribosomal RNA". It matches the Rfam family "Bacterial small subunit ribosomal RNA", at positions 28 to 507 of the family's 1533-position model. The record is from RNAcentral.
GACGAACGCUGGCGGCGUGCCUAAUACAUGCAAGUUGAGCGAUGAAGAUUGGUGCUUGCACCAAUUUGAAGAGCAGCGAACGGGUGAGUAACGCGUGGGGAAUCUGCCUUUGAGCGGGGGACAACAUUUGGAAACGAAUGCUAAUACCGCAUAACAACUUUAAACAUAAGUUUUAAGUUUGAAAGAUGCAAUUGCAUCACUCAAAGAUGAUCCCGCGUUGUAUUAGCUAGUUGGUGAGGUAAAGGCUCACCAAGGCGAUGAUACAUAGCCGACCUGAGAGGGUGAUCGGCCACAUUGGGACUGAGACACGGCCCAAACUCCUACGGGAGGCAGCAGUAGGGAAUCUUCGGCAAUGGACGAAAGUCUGACCGAGCAACGCCGCGUGAGUGAAGAAGGUUUUCGGCUCGUAAAACUCUGUUGGUAGAGAAGAACGUUGGUGAGAGUGGAAAGCUCAUCAAGUGACGGUAACUACCCAGAAAGGGACGGCUAACUACGUG